RNAcentral lists this ribosomal RNA (251 nucleotides) under uncultured bacterium. RNAcentral describes it as "partial 16S ribosomal RNA". It matches the Rfam family "Bacterial small subunit ribosomal RNA", at positions 525 to 775 of the family's 1533-position model. RNAcentral also lists the same sequence under 1 other name. The record is from RNAcentral.
ACGUAGGGAGCGAGCGUUGUCCGGAAUUACUGGGUGUAAAGGGAGCGUAGGCGGGAUAGCAAGUCAGAUGUGAAAACUAUGGGCUCAACCUGUAGAUUGCAUUUGAAACUGUUGUUCUUGAGUGAAGUAGAGGUAAGCGGAAUUCCUAGUGUAGCGGUGAAAUGCGUAGAUAUUAGGAGGAACAUCGGUGGCGAAGGCGGCUUACUGGGCUUUUACUGACGCUGAGGCUCGAAAGCGUGGGGAGCAAACAG